RNAcentral lists this ribosomal RNA (778 nucleotides) under uncultured Chloroflexota bacterium. Its description in RNAcentral is "SSU rRNA". It matches the Rfam family "Bacterial small subunit ribosomal RNA", at positions 1 to 762 of the family's 1533-position model. Lineage: Bacteria; Bacillati; Chloroflexota. The record is from RNAcentral.
UUUUUGUGUGGAGAGUUUGAUCCUGGCUCAGGAUAAACGCUGGCGGCGUGCUUUACCAAUGCGAGUCGCACGGGCUCAUCUUUCGGGAUGAGUGAGUGGCGUACGGGUGCGUAACACGUGGGUGACCUGCCUCUGCGCGGGGGAUACCCACCCGAAAGGGUGGCUAAUACCGCAUGACGUGCUCUUCUGUGGGGGAGUACCAAAGCCUGCUUCGUAAGGAGUGGGCACGUGGAGAGGGGCCUGCGGCCUAUCAGCUGGUCGGUGGGGUAACGGCCUACCGAGGCGACGACGGGUAGCCGGUCUGAGAGGACGAACGGCCACAGUGGAACUGAGAAUGGUCCACAGCCCUACGGGGUUUAGCAUGGAGGAAUCUUGCGCAACGAUCGAGAGAUCGGCGCAGCAACGCCGCGUGGGGGACGAAGGCUCUCGGGUCGUAAACCCCUGUUGCUCGGGAAGAAGUACCGUAGGGGAGAUCCUUACGGGAAGACGGUACCGGGCGAGGAAGCACCGGCUAACUACGUGCCAGCAGCCGCGGUAAUACGUAGGGUGCAAGCGUUAUCCGGAUUUAUUGGGCGUAAAGGGCGCGCAGGCGGCCGGCAGCAGUGGCGCGUGGAAUCUCCUCGCUCAACGGGGAGGGGUCGCGCCAAACGGGCUGGCUUGAGGCGAGCAGGGGACCACAGAACGGGCGGAGUAGGGGUGAAAUCCGUAGAGACCGUCCGGAAUACCAAUAGCGAAGGCAGUGGUCUGGGCUUGUCCUGACGCUCGGGCGCGAAAGCGU